CACAGCUAUGACCAAACCAACACCCACCACAUCAAAACCCACUCCGGCUUUGGCUACGUCAAAACCUGGUACAACCACAGCCAGGCCAACACCCACCACACAAACCAAACCAACACCUGCUGCUACACCAAAAUCUACCACCACUACAGCCAAGCCAACACCUGCUGCUACAACACCAACACCUGCCACAACAGCAAAGACACAACCAAAAGCUGCCACUACCACAAAACCAGAACCAGGAAGACCUGAUCCUUCUGAGGCAGCCGGGGUAACUCUUUCCUUUGAGCCCAUGUUAGACCUGGAUUAUAAUCUUAACAGGCAGAGGUAGACACUGGAGAGCCUGUUAGCUCCUUCACUACAGAGAAUCCAGCCUUAUUAGAAAGCAGGGGCACAGCCGUCAGCCCCAGAUCAGUCCCAGAAACAAGGAAAGGUGUCAAAGAGGAUGGGAAAGAGAAAUCAGCCUUUUCCAGUCCACCUCCGUCCCUCAGCCAAGUUGUUCCAGGGAUCAAGUUAGGUUUCAAUAGAGCUGAGCUCAUAACCCCCUCAAAGUCAGUGGUCCUCAGCCCUGAAGAGCCCACCUUCUUGCGCUUAACAUCAUCCUCCAAAGAAAGAAAAGGGCAGAGCCCCCAUUUCCAGACCUCCCUGUCAGCAGGUGCCCUGGACACUGAAGAAAUGCAGACAGACACUGAAGAAAUGGAGACAAACUCGGAACAGACAAAUGUGGAUCAGCCCAUGUCUGGAGCCACCAGUACCUGCUCAGGGCUUUUGCUCUUCCUCCUCCCCAGUGCCAUCCUGGUGGGCCUUCUGCUUUGAAUGGUCUUUCUCAGCUCUCCCUGCUCCAGUCACCAAGGCUUUCUUCAGCACUGGUUGUUCCACAACCCUGCUGGGCUCAGGAGACCCCUCAGACAGUUCAGGCUGACACCUCCCUUCUUACGCUGCCUCAUCUGCUCCAGCCCCGGGCAGUGGCAGCCCCGUGGGAACUUGGUCCCCUUCCUGAGGAAACCCAAGGGCAGGAGGGUGUCUGCCAUAACACUGGUGACCUUGGACACUUCUCCUUUCUUCCUGGCCAGCCUGGGCUUCUGUUCCAUUUGCAAGGUGGGAGUGGUGAGCUGUCCCCCCAGCCGUGUGGCCGGCAGGCCCCGCCGCACCGUGUGCCCAGGGACAGCAGGACCCAAGCGGCAAAAAGAGACGUGGUGGUUGCCUUUGGUGUUUGUAGAUGAAACAUGGUGGUUGGCUUUGGUGUUUUCUGCUGUUCGUCAGGAUGAGCCUCCAGCAAAAAUGCUCUUUUCCCUUCCCCAUGUGUCUGUUUGUCUCAGAUUUGGGCAAGUUUCAUCUCUUUCCCCUCUUGUCCAAAGAGAGGAUUUUUUAUUUUCCCGUUUCCCUCCUGGUUCUGGUGUAGCUUUGGCCAGAUAUUCUCCCUGCUGCUCCUCACACCCUUGCAGCCCUUGCCUUCUCCCUCUCUCCUGUCUCUGCCCCAUGUCCCACUCCUCAGUUAUUGCCAUUAUCCAUUGCCACAGCUUUAUUUUACGCCUGUGCCUUCACCUUUGUGCACGCACAGAAGAGAAACCUUGAGCCCUGAGAGGAGCCACCAUCUCCUUCAUACAGCUUUCCCUAGCAUGGCUUCUUUCUUUACAUAAUUUCUGUGUAUUUGAAUUUAGGUACAGAUUCCCCUUGGCAUGUAAUCUGUGUGUGGUGGAACCUGGUCCAGGAGAAAAAAGUCACCACACGAGUCGGUACAAUCUGAGCUCAAGAGAGCCAAGUGAUGAUGUUACAGGUCAUUGGCGGCUCCAGGACUUGUUGCAGAAACACUGUCAUUAUCUGAGACACUGUGUUUUGUUACCCCACAUUUCCCUUCACCCGAGGAUUCCCAGUCAGGUGUGUUAAAUAUGUGACAAGCUUUCCAGACCGGUGGGAGGAAGAUAACUGGAAGAUACAGUCCCUUCUCUGGUGAUUGCAUCCUUUGAUUUCUUACACAGGUGAGGUGGAGGAUGACCUGCAUUGUUCAUAUCCUCCCACCUGCUGCUCUGUCCUGUGCACUGAAUAAAUCCUUUUGUUAAAGUCUG
Molecule: long non-coding RNA, 2063 nt
Organism: Lepidothrix coronata (blue-crowned manakin)
Lineage: Eukaryota; Metazoa; Chordata; Aves; Passeriformes; Pipridae
Exons: 2
Source: RefSeq, a predicted model, not a curated record